Molecule: transfer RNA, 77 nt
Filed under: Candidatus Babeliales bacterium
Lineage: Bacteria; Candidatus Babeliae; Candidatus Babeliales
Also listed under: 1 other name
Description: tRNA-Arg
Rfam family: tRNA
About the family: Transfer RNA (tRNA) molecules are approximately 80 nucleotides in length. Their secondary structure includes four short double-helical elements and three loops (D, anti-codon, and T loops).
Source: RNAcentral
GUGCUCGUAGCUCAGUUGGAUAGAGCAACGGAUUUCUAAUCCGUAGGUCGCAGGUUCGAGCCCUGCCGGGCACACCA